UCUGCACCCAGACAAAGAAAGAUACGGGUGGGAUGGUGGAGCUUGGGCAGCGUCCGGCCGCCAUGAGUCUGAGCAUGCCGCCGGGGCCGGGGGUCAUGUUGUGCCUCUGGUUCGUCGGUUUUUUUUUUCCAAUAGCCCCUGUUCCCCGCUUCCCCUCUCCCCGCCAUCGUGCUCGCGUGCUCCUGCACGAGCGCGUGCUGCAUAAUAGAGGGGUCCACAGCCAAAGCUGACCCAUGGAAUCUAGAUCUGUUUAUCUAUGCAAACAAGGUGAUUGACAAAAGUCCAAGAAGGUUACUCGCUCUUUUGAUUUCUUGAUUGGGCACAGAUGAAGAGGUUGUUGGAUGCAGUAAAGAUGAAGAGGUUCUUGGAUGCAGUAAAGGUACUUGGAAUCUUGAUUGCAGUGAUUGGGAUUGGACUAUAUUCAUACUUCUGUACCCGUGAAAUUAAACCCACUAAAGCAUCUCCUCAAGUCACUCAGGCACAUUUCCCCUGGUUAUUUUCAUUGUGAUUUGAGGUGCAAAACAUUUCUGUAUUUUGAAAUGGAUCUCCUGAGCGGCAUGGCUAGUUUGAAUACAUAUGCUGCUUCAAUAUUCCAUUGGGAAGAACUGAGAGGUAUUUGAGACGUGGUUCGAUCUACAAUGAUGUGUGUCCCUUAAGUGAUGCCUCACGUGACAUACUUUGACCCAAAGGAGGCUGAUUCCACCUUAUCGAGAUUUGUUAUUGGUUAUCGGAUGGAGCUAACUAAAAAGUAUAUUAUUCCGUGCUUGGUAUUGGUUUAUUUUAUUUAUAAGAACAAAUGUAUAUAUGAUUCAGGUAGGCACUUUUUGAUAUCUCAUAAUUUUGUUCCUGGUGAUGAUCAAUUACUAAAAUAUAUAAUAUGUUGUUUAUGUUAAUAAUUGGUACUUGCUUGCUUUAUGAUCUUUGAAAACUUUUCUUGCCAGAAAUGAUGCCUAUUUUGUUGCUCUUCUAGAUUCUGGAUUGUUAUUUUCUAUUAUCAAAUGAUAUGAUUGGAAAUUCAGAUAAUGAUUUCUCUUUAUUGCUAUGCUACACAUUAUACUUAUUAUCAUUAGAAAUUGACAUCUCGAUGUUGCUCGUGUAACUGCUCAUUGAAAUCUUUAUGAUAUUUUGUCACUGUAGGUUGAUGUCCAUGACAAUAACUAUAUUAGUAAAAAAAAUAGGCCUAUUUCUUAUAUAUGUUUUAUGUGUGUAAAUUCCACCUUAGUUCUUGUUUUUUCUGCAUACAUUUGUCUUGAUAUUGGUAAACGAACUAUUCAUGUGAUGUUGGUUUGUUUAGGUGUACAUUGAUCUACAAAUUCGGAUAGAUUUUUCUUUUACUGUGCCAACCCAUCCUGCACUCUCCCUGGUUUGGUUCCUAGAUGUGAGGUUGGCACUUCGCUUUGCUAAAAAAUAAAUUACAAUAUCAGGAUUUUUCUUUGAAUGGGUGAACUACCUCACCUCUCUUGAGAAUCACUAUUGGGCCUCUUGAUGCUUCAAAGAAGUUAGGAGUUCUAUCUCAUUUUUUGUUUAUGUUUUCAUCCCACCAUGAACAAAAUCAGUGGAACAAUGUUUGCAAAGAAAAAUCACUCGACUCCUGUACCUUUCCAGUACUUUAAUUUAUAGAAUAACUAUGACAAAUAGAUGUCUGUGCGGCUGAAUUUAAUGGCUCUUCCCUUUGCAAAUGCCAGUACAAUAAUGGCAAUGGGAUGGCUUACUCGACGAAGUAUCAUGGUUUAUGGUGGUACUCUUAAGCAUGGAAACUUCGAGGGAAAUUCAUAUGACAUAGUAUCUGCUUCCAGAGCUACGGAAAUUUGUUAGUGGAUCAAUCAGCGAUGAGGAAAGAAAGAAUGAGCUCCACAACUCAUGCCCAGGGGGCAGGUCCAUGUGGCGAGAAGCAUGGGUUCGUGGAAACCUACAAGAAUUUGGAGAGCUGGUAUUUUCCUGAACCCUUUAUGGUGGAGAAAAGGAGCUUAUUGCUUGGAGAAUAAUAUUUUGCGACAUUUGGAUAGGAGGCAGGUCUAAUGUCGCAAUGUCGAUUUUCAGGUUUCUAGAUUAUUGCCCACUGCCCAUCUGCAGUUUGCUUACCGGCGAUGGACCAUUAUUAACCAGAUAGGUUUUCCAAUUGGCUUAUUGACAUGAGGUUGUUUCUUUCAUUUGAGUACAAAAGCAGCUCUGAUAAACAGAGAGCAUCAUGUGCGCUCCACUUUUUGUAGAUGUAUCCAUGUGCAACCAUCUGUCAUAGUGUCAUGACAAGAUUCUCACUAUCAUUGCUCAUUUCACCGAUAUGUGUGGAUACUUAUUUUUACAUUUGGAGGGACCCUUGCAUAUUGUUCAUCUGGUUCUAAGUUAGCCUGUUUGAUGCUUAACUGUGUCUUCUAUGUAUCACCAUUUAGCAAUAGUAAUAUGGAGUAGCAUCUAUUGGUAGUUUUUCCAUCCUCUUGAUUACAGAACCAGAAACAUGGAGCUGUAAACUAUGUUCAUUGAUUUUUUUCCCAGUAUUGGGACCAGCUUAAGCCUUUCUUCAUGUUUGUAAUAUUUUGCCUUAAGACUUUCACGGUUGUAGGCUUUUUUUAUAUUUUGCCCAUGGUGUUGUUUGGGACUUUGGGUGCCCAGAGCAGCUCGUUCACUUGAGCCUUGCAUAAUAGUGUGUAUUAUGGCAGAUGCUAAUUAAGCAAAUGUGCUAUCAUAAUGUGUUGUAUCUAUCUAUUUUUUUUUUGAGUUUGCUCUUUAUCAAGUUCCACGGGUUACACAUGCCUUGAUAAUAGAACACCAAAUGCCCAGGUUUGUCUGCAAUUUUAUUUGGACACAAGUUGAUGCCUUUAUUUCUCUCUUGCUUUUUUAUUUGCACGGACUCAAACUGAAUCUCCCUGGGUGCUUGGACUGAUGUUUAGAUAAUUAAGUUGAACAAAUUUUCGAGUCCAAAUCUGUUAGCUGCUGCAGUACGUUGCAUGUCUUUCUGAAUCAAUUUAGUGUGACACUCUGCGUGUUUAUUAGUCAUUAACUAACAACUAAUCGUGGAUCCUUGCUAUAUUAGUAUGGCUACUGAUGCCCCCACAUGAUUUAUGUUUGUUCCUGUAUAUGUGCUCAAAUUAAUUUAGUGUGAUGUCUUGAUUUUCUAUAUAAAAAGAAGUUUCUUCAUUGGGCUGUAUAAGAAAGGGUAGUCCUGCCAGAACUAAUUAUUUCAAACCACCUACAGUUUCUUCUAGAUGGCAAGUCACUACAGCAUGAGCUAUCAUCCCUGUCCUCAGGCGUUGUGCGGCCGACCAUACUUGGUACGAGAGGCUACGCCGUGUCAUAGUGCUACUCCAGCCCACACGACCUCCACUCCGCAAUCAAACUCAGUCGCAACAUCACUGAUGCCGCCUUCACAUCACUGAAGCAGGCGGUGCUACGACAUCGGUAGAGGCAGCUGAUACAGAGAACAUGACAAAAUGCAGCAUUGGCAUUGGAUGGGUCACAACGCGCCCAUGACUAUGUUGUGUAGAUGGAUGUGAAAGAGGAGAAGCAGCUGGCCACCGCCGCGGAAGUUGUGUUGUGGCGCCUAAGCCGUGUAGAUUGACAACAAUGAGAAGUAUAUCCAUCGCUCCGAUCAGUGCUAGGAACAGAAGCUGAAGAGCUUUUGUCCAGUACCAAGGUCUUCAGUAUAAUUCAGUCGUACAAUUCUGGACUCUUCUCAAGCUACACGGAUGCUAUAUUGAGAAAAACGGUUUGUGAAUAAUUUUGGACGAGUUUGGAGUGCUCUGAACAAUUGCUGCACCACGCGUCAGUGCUUGCCUCACCCCUCUACGUCUUGAGCGGUUGGAUAAGAGAAGUCUACGUCGAUGAUGCUUAUUGCGCAGGCCAUAUUUCUCCUUUCUUCCUCGCAAUCCUCUCCGCUCUCUCCCUGUUCCUUAUUCCCUGACCCUUUCUCUCCCUCUAGAUGAAACUUAUAGGCAUUUCUACCUACAUCAAAGUUGUGUACUUUAAUUUGCAGAUGCAUACAAUAUUUUUGUUUUUGCAUGCAUGUUGGGAUGCGAAAGAGCUCCAACACAUGUUUCCCAAACAACUUAAUUAUCACCUUCCUUACAA
Long non-coding RNA from Lolium rigidum, 4065 nucleotides. RefSeq lists it as uncharacterized. The transcript is spliced from 12 exons. The record is from RefSeq and is a predicted model, not a curated record. Lineage: Eukaryota; Viridiplantae; Streptophyta; Magnoliopsida; Poales; Poaceae.